UACAACUUUCGUUCUGUCUUUCUUUCUCUAGGGACAAAAGAACCUGAUUGAAAACUUUAAAGGUUUUCAUAUUCUUGCACCAGAUGUCGUCGUGAUCCACCAUCGAUGCCGUUGUACUCCGCCAUUGUUCGACGACUGAUCAAGCCAAAAUUCUACCCAUCAUUACUUCUUGUUCUCCUCGUCUCGAAUAUGAGCUUGUUUUUUUGUAAAUCGCUUCUUAAAGGCGUAAAUCUAGCGUUCAAGUUACGAUUUUUUUUCUAUUUCAGGCACUUCCACCGUCGGAUCUUCCCCAACUUUCAGCAUGUAAUUUUUCUCGUCAAGCUCCAUGUCUUCACCGUCAGGAUUUGUCAGAAGUCGCAUCGAUCAUCGUCUAUUGCCACUAUGGUAGGUUUCGGGUUUCCCCUUUUAUUCGUCUUUUCUUUUCUAUUUUUGAUCUCCUUUAGUUUCUGACUUGGCUUUGUUUAUUUUCUAAAUUUGUGUUUGGACGACUGACUGAUGGUGGACGAGAAACUGAUGGCGGUAAGUUGAUGGUCGAUGGAUGGGGAUAGUGUUGAAGCUAGCCGAAUACAAAGUCUGUUAACUGGAAAUGUGAGUUUUCUAACCUAUGUUCUGUGGUCUGCUUGUGAUUACAUUCUGGGAAUUAAUUUACAGGGGAUUGGGUUAUGGCCGGCCAUGGUAUAAGGCUUUUGAAUCUGCGCUUUUGAUGAAGAUAAGGUCAAGCACCUGGUUUUUGAAAGUGAUGGCUUGAUGAAUUGGCACUGAUGCUGCCAGAUUGGGAUUUCUCUUAUUUGUUAAUGAAAUUGUUUCUGUUUAUUAUGUGAUUUUUGGUAGCUGAAAUAGGAAUUAUAAUUAUUACCUUCAUAGUUUCCUACUACUCGAAUAUUAUAGCUCAUCUGUAUGGUUUCUCCCUGUUUGAACGUUACUGUACAAAUGGGACUGUGGGUUUUACCUCUGUGUGUUUGUGCUGCUGGUGAUAGUGGCCGCUAAUGGUGGGGUUCAAAACGAGUAGGGUCUCAACUGGUAAUGGAGACGAUAUUGAGUUUCAAGGCUAGUCUAUUUCGGCGUGGAUUGCCAAUGAUAGAAGGAUAACAAUGUGGAGAUGGCAGCAAAAUUGGCUUGAUGAGAACUGGUGGUGCUGCGUAUUUUUGCUUUUUUUCUGUGAUCUUUCCAUAAUCUUCGUACUCUUGUUCCCUUUCCCAUUGAUGUGAAUUGCAAUGAUAUAUAAAACCAUGUUG
This 1235-nucleotide long non-coding RNA is filed under the name Durio zibethinus. Its description in RNAcentral is "long non-coding RNA (DZIB_LNC000736)". Lineage: Eukaryota; Viridiplantae; Streptophyta; Magnoliopsida; Malvales; Malvaceae. The record is from RNAcentral.